Molecule: ribosomal RNA, 271 nt
Filed under: uncultured bacterium
Lineage: Bacteria
Description: partial 16S ribosomal RNA
Rfam family: Bacterial small subunit ribosomal RNA
Source: RNAcentral
UGUUGGUAUCUUAGUGGCGGACGGGUGAGUAACGCGUGGGUAACCUGCCUUACACUGGGGGAUAACACUUAGAAAUAGGUGCUAAUACCGCAUAACAGGAGAAGACGCAUGUCUUUUCCUUGAAAACUCCGGUGGUGUAAGAUGGACCCGCGUCUGAUUAGCUGGUUGGCGGGGUAACGGCCCACCAAGGCGACGAUCGGUAGCCGGCCUGAGAGGGUGAACGGCCACAUUGGGACUGAGACACGGCCCAAACUCCUACGGGAGGCAGCAG